GUACUGCUGAAGAGUCCCAACAGACGAGGACGAAACAGCUGUCCAGUAG
This 49-nucleotide non-coding RNA is filed under the name Trichobilharzia regenti. Lineage: Eukaryota; Metazoa; Platyhelminthes; Trematoda; Strigeidida; Schistosomatidae. The record is from RNAcentral.